Molecule: ribosomal RNA, 497 nt
Filed under: uncultured bacterium
Lineage: Bacteria
Description: partial 16S ribosomal RNA
Rfam family: Bacterial small subunit ribosomal RNA
Source: RNAcentral
GAUGAACGCUGGCGGCGUGCCUAAUACAUGCAAGUCGAGCGGACAGACGAGGCGCUUGCUCCUCGGACGUUAGCCGCGGGCGGGUGAGUAACACGUGGAUAACCUACCUAUAAUACUGGGAUCACUUCGGAACUCCGGAUCUAAUACCGUAGAAUCUAUUGAACCGCAUGGUUCAAUAGUGAAAGUCGGUGUUGCUGUCACUUCUCGAUGGAUCCGCGCCGCAUUAGCUGGUUGGUAAGGUAACGGCUUACCAAGGCAACGAUGCGUAGCCGACCUGAGAGGGUGAUCGCCCACACGGGAACUGAGACGCGGUCCAGACUCCUACGGGAGGCAGCAGUAGGGAAUCUUCCGCAAUGGGCGAAAGUCUGACGGAGCAACGCCGAGCGAGUGAUGAAGGCCUUCGGAUCGUAAAACUGUGUUAUUAGGGAAGAACAAAUGUGUAAGGAAAUAUGCACGUCUUGACGGUACCUGAUAAGAAAGCCACGGCUAACUACGUG